GGACCAGCUGUGGUUCAGUGGUAUCAGCAUCUGCCUUGCAUGGACAAGGUUCCAGGUUCAAUCCCUGGAGUCUCCA
Podarcis lilfordi (Lilford's wall lizard) is the source of this 76-nucleotide non-coding RNA. The record is from the annotation of a GenBank genome assembly. NCBI's taxonomy places the organism in Eukaryota, Metazoa, Chordata, Lepidosauria, Squamata, Lacertidae.